CGGAGGGGCUAGCGUUGUUCGGAAUUACUGGGCGUAAAGCGCACGUAGGCGGAUCGGAAAGUCAGAGGUGAAAUCCCAGGGGCUCAACCUUGGAACUGCCUUUGAAACUCCUGGUCUUGAGUUCGAGAGAGGUGAGUGGAAUUCCGAGUGUAGAGGUGAAAUUCGUAGAUAUUCGGAGGAACACCAGUGGCGAAGGCGGCUCACUGGCUCGAUACUGACGCUGAGGUGCGAAAAGCGUGGGGGAGCAAACAGGAUU
Molecule: ribosomal RNA, 256 nt
Filed under: uncultured bacterium
Lineage: Bacteria
Description: partial 16S ribosomal RNA
Rfam family: Bacterial small subunit ribosomal RNA
Source: RNAcentral